GAAAUGCGAUAAGUAAUGUGAAUUGCAGAAUUCAGUGAAUCAUCGAAUCUUUGAACGCACCUUGCGCUCCUUGGUAUUCCGAGGAGCAUGCCUGUUUGAGUGUCAUGGUAUUCUCAACCCUCCAGAUUCUUGUCGAGUUUGGAUGGGUUGGACUUGGAGGCUUUUAUUGCUGGUGAUCUCUCCCCGGCUCCUCUGAAAUACAUUAGCAGGAAUAUGGCUGCAUUGGCUUCAGUGUGAUAAUUGUCUACGCUGUCGCUGUGUGGCAUAUAAAAAUGGUUCUUGCUUCUAAUCCGUCUUUCUCUGAGAGACAACCUUUUCUUGACAAUCUGACCUCAAAUCAGGUAGGACUACCCGCUGAACUUAA
Molecule: ribosomal RNA, 364 nt
Filed under: Cymatoderma elegans
Lineage: Eukaryota; Fungi; Basidiomycota; Agaricomycetes; Polyporales; Panaceae
Description: eukaryotic LSU rRNA
Rfam family: 5.8S ribosomal RNA (bases 1-105)
Source: RNAcentral